UACGUAGGGUGCAAGCGUUGUCCGGAAUUAUUGGGCGUAAAGAGCUCGUAGGCGGUUUGUUGCGUCGGCUGUGAAAUCCCGAGGCUCAACCUCGGGUCUGCAGUCGAUACGAGCAAACUAGAGUGUUGCAGGGGAGACUGGAAUUCCUGGUGUAGCGGUGAAAUGCGCAGAUAUCGGGAGGAACACCGGUGGCGAAGGCGGUUCUCUGGGCCUGACCUGACGCUGAGGAGCGAAAGCGUGGGGAGCGAACAGG
RNAcentral lists this ribosomal RNA (253 nucleotides) under uncultured bacterium. Its description in RNAcentral is "partial 16S ribosomal RNA". It matches the Rfam family "Bacterial small subunit ribosomal RNA", at positions 524 to 776 of the family's 1533-position model. The record is from RNAcentral.